CCUACGGGAGGCAGCAGUGGGGAAUCUUGGACAAUGGGGGAAACCCUGAUCCAGCAAUGCCGCGUGUGGGAUGAAGGCCCUCGGGUUGUAAACCACUUUUGGCAGGAAAGAAAUCGCCUGUGCUAAUACCAUGGGCGGAUGACGGUACCUGCAGAAUAAGCACCGGCUAACUACGUGCCAGCAGCCGCGGUAAUACGUAGGGUGCGAGCGUUAAUCGGAAUUACUGGGCGUAAAGCGUGCGCAGGCGGUUUUGUAAGACAGAUGUGAAAUCCCCGGGCUUAACCUGGGAACUGCAUUUGUGACUGCAAGACUAGAGUGUGUCAGAGGGAGGUGGAAUUCCGCGUGUAGCAGUGAAAUGCGUAGAGAUGCGGAAGAACACCGAUGGCGAAGGCAGCCUCCUGGGAUAACACUGACGCUCAGGCACGAAAGCGUGGGGAGCAAACAGGAUUAGAUACCCCGGUAGUCCACGCCCUAAACGAUGUCAACUAGUUGUUGGGGAUUCAUUUCCUUAGUAACGUAGCUAACGCGUGAAGUUGACCGCCUGGGGAGUACGGCCGCAAGGUUAAAACUCAAAUGAAUUGACGG
Molecule: ribosomal RNA, 585 nt
Filed under: uncultured bacterium
Lineage: Bacteria
Description: bacterial SSU rRNA
Rfam family: Bacterial small subunit ribosomal RNA
Source: RNAcentral